RNAcentral lists this ribosomal RNA (254 nucleotides) under uncultured bacterium. RNAcentral describes it as "partial 16S ribosomal RNA". It matches the Rfam family "Bacterial small subunit ribosomal RNA", at positions 524 to 776 of the family's 1533-position model. The record is from RNAcentral.
GACGAACCGUGCGAACGUUAUUCGGAAUCACUGGGCUUAAAGCGCGUGUAGGCGGGACGGCACGUCGGUCGCUGAAAGCCCCCGGCUCAACCGGGGAAGUGGCACCGAUACGACCGGCCUGGAGGGACGUAGGGGGACCUGGAACUUCCGGUGGAGCGGUGAAAUGCGUUGAGAUCGGAAGGAACGCCCGUGGCGAAAGCGAGGUCCUGGACGUUUACUGACGCUGAGACGCGAAAGCCAGGGGAGCGAACGGG